Molecule: long non-coding RNA, 802 nt
Organism: Macadamia integrifolia
Lineage: Eukaryota; Viridiplantae; Streptophyta; Magnoliopsida; Proteales; Proteaceae
Exons: 2
Source: RefSeq, a predicted model, not a curated record
GUAACAUUGUGAGUGUUGAUAUGGUGGAUGGUGGACUAUUAUGCUCAAGUGGUGUGUGUGUGGAAGAACUGGGAGAUAAGAAUGAUGACUGCUAUGUAGUCAAUGCUGCAGUUUAUGUUGGCUACUAGACUUGUUUGUUAUCAGUGUUUUAUAAGAUAUACCAUGUCAUCUAGCAGUGUUAAUGACUCUUCUAACUCCAAAUGUCCAUUAAAUUAUCAGAAUUUAAGAUGUGGAUGUAAUAGAAAGGCAGCAGUGAGGAUUUCUGAAUCUGUCCAAAAUAUGAACAAACUCUACUACUGUUGUUCAGAGUUUCCAAGAGGAGGCUAUGGUUUUUUUCAUGGUGUUCACCCAUGCAAGGCAUUCCUGAAACUACUACACAUGAAACCACAGUAUAUGGAAGAGUUAUACAAAUGGAACAACAGAUGAAGGAUUUCUUUUGUCAAAACUCUACUACUGUUGUUUAGAGUUACCAAGAGGAGGCUAUGGUUUUUUUCUUGGUGUUCAUCCGUGUAAGGCAUUCCUAAAACCACUGCACAUGAAACCACAGUAUAUGGAAGACUUAUACAAAUGGAACAACAGAUGAAGAAUGAGCUACAAAUGUUGACAGAAGAAAUCCGUAGUUUGAAAAAUAUAUUGAAUGUGAUGGGUCAGAUUGUAAUGGUUAUUGUUGUUGUUUUUUUGAUAUAAUUGAGUGGGUAAGCUUAGUAGAAGCUUAUGUAGGACAUGUCAAAUCUGUAGUUACCUAUUACAAUGAAAUUGAGGUUGAUUUGCAAUUGUGUUGUCUAAAUGGGGAUGUACUGUA